GUGAGGAAUAUUGGUCAAUGGACGAGAGUCUGAACCAGCCAAGUCGCGUGAAGGAAGACGGUUCUAUGAAUUGUAAACUUCUUUUGUGCAGGAAUAAAGUGGGUUACGUGUAACCUUUUGUAUGUACUGUACGAAUAAGGAUCGGCUAACUCCGUGCCAGCAGCCGCGGUAAUACGGAGGAUCCGAGCGUUAUCCGGAUUUAUUGGGUUUAAAGGGUGAGUAGGUGGAUUGAUAAUUCAGCGGUGAAAGUUUGCAGCUUAACUGUAAAAUUGCCGUUGAAACUGUCGGUCUUGAGUGCAAAUGAGGUAGGCGGAAUGUGUUGUGUAGCAGUGAAAUGCUUAGAUAUAACACAGAACUCCGAUUGCGAAGGCAGCUUACUGGGAUGCAACUGACACUGAUGCACGAAAGCGUGGGUAUCAAACAGGAUUAGAUACCCGAGUAGUCC
Molecule: ribosomal RNA, 445 nt
Filed under: uncultured bacterium
Lineage: Bacteria
Description: partial 16S ribosomal RNA
Rfam family: Bacterial small subunit ribosomal RNA
Source: RNAcentral